UCGCCUGUUUAUCAAAAACAUGUCUUUUUGAGAAAAAUAUAAGGUUUAAUCUGCCCACUGAUUAAUUAAAUGGCUGCGGUAAUUUGACCGUACAAAGGUAGCAUAAUCAUUAGUUUAUUAAUUGUGAACUGGAAUGAAUGAUUGGACAAGGGAGAUACUGUUUCGAUUUUAAAUUGAUGAAUUUUACUUGUUAUUGAGAAGGAUAAUAUGUAUGAAAAAGACGAGAAGACCCUGUAGAUCUUUAUUAGUAGUUCGAUUAGGGUUAAAUAGAAUAAGUAAUUUAGUUGGGGUAAUUGUAUUUUUAAAUAUAUAUAUAUAUAUGAUUAUACUAAAGAGUAAUUAUAUGAUCUGUUAAACAAUUAGUUGAUUAAGUUACCUCAGGGAUAACAGCAUAAUCUAAUUUAGGAGUUCUUAUCUGAAAUUGGGCUUGUGACCUCGAUGUUGGAUUAAGAAAAUUAUUCGGUGAAGAGGCUUUAUAAAUAAGUCUGUUCGACUUUUAAAUUCUUACAUGAUCUGAGUUCAAACCGGAGA
RNAcentral lists this ribosomal RNA (531 nucleotides) under Zorotypus novobrittanicus. RNAcentral describes it as "partial 16S ribosomal RNA". It matches the Rfam family "Bacterial large subunit ribosomal RNA", at positions 1796 to 2622 of the family's 2925-position model. Lineage: Eukaryota; Metazoa; Arthropoda; Insecta; Zoraptera; Zorotypidae. The record is from RNAcentral.